CCCGGGGCGGGCCGGCCGCCGCGGCCCAUAUAUAGGGGCGGCCGGGGGUGCUGCCGACACUGGCUGCCGUCUCUUCCGACGGCUGCUUUCCCUCGGUGACACCGGUGAGCCGCCGGGGCGGGCAGGGCCGGGGUGGGUUGGGGGUACCCGGGGGGUGCGGGUCGCUCUCCUCCGCCGGGCACCGCUGCUUCCCCCGGCAAAACGCCCCAUUCUCCCUCGCAGGCUCCUCCCGGAGAGAGGCGGUUUUCCCCGUCGCGCCGCUGCCAUGGCCUCCGUCCCCUCCGUCGGUUGUCUCCUGGCCAAGAACCAGUACUACCGCACAAGACAGAACUCGGAAUCCAGCGUCUCUUCCAGCUCCUCCUGCUGUCCGGAUGCUGUGAACGUUACAGACCAGGACAAAGCAUUUCAUGGUUUACCUGAGUUAAUUGAUAAAUGUUGGUGGAUAAAAAGCUUUUUCCAUAGUGAACCAUGUCCACCAACUGUUGGCAGAAAAACACUAUCAGCAAGCAGUACCAACAGUUGAAUAGGACAGCAUGCUGGCUUAACUGACUGAGAUACUACGUACAGAUUCGUUUUUCCAAGAGGCUUGGGAUCUUCCUAACGUCUGGGUUCAGCUGCAAGAAGAAAACAAAACCUUUAGGAGAACGGAAAAGUCUAUUUUCAAAAUACUUGUCAGUAGCUUAAAUGGUAUUACUUAAUGGACAUGUCCAUGGCCUAUCUUGUUCAUUACAGAGUUGCUAUAAUUUGAGAUGUCUCUCAAAUUGUCCAGAUUCAAAGUCCUGAUAACUUCGAUAGUUAGAGAAAAAUGACAGUAAAAGUAAGAUAUUGUAGGUUUAGGUGAAGCUUAUGUAUCAAAUGACUUUGCAAUAGGUGAUACUGGUAAGUUUUACCUUUAAGAUAUCAGCUCUAUAUGCAGUCACACGGAGGUAAACAAGAUUCAGAUAUAUAGUCCAGAGUAGGAAUGCUACAUGGUACAUGUUUUCUAUUAAGUAUUUGUGUACCAGUUACAGGGAGUAAGUUUACAAGAAUGCUUCUUAAUAGCUUUGCUUUUAGAAAGCCCCAGUUACACAAAGAAACAGUAAUUAGUUUGGUCUUUUUGUUCGAGCAGGGUACAUAGAUCUCAACCUCAAAUACCCAGGUACAACAUCCAUUCAUAUCUAUGCAUGUUGGUAUUUGAGGACAGAGUAGAAGGGAUAGACAAAAAAUCAGUAAUUCCAAUGGGCGCUGACAUCUUCAAAGCAGAAGAGCAACCUUAAUCAGAGCUGAUACUCUUGGCUCUGUUUUAGACUACUCUGACCUGCUUUGCUGUAGCUUAAAAUGCUGCUUGUUCUCAAGUGACUACUCCUAUCGAUACGCACUGCUGUCUGUCAGCUUAGUUAUGUGCUAGACCUGGCAAAGUGCUCAACUCAAAGUAAUCACAUCAAUGUUAUUAACCAAGUCUACCUUUGUCAGAAUUCAUGCUCUUGAAAGAUGCAGUAACAUAGCUUCAUUUGGUCUUCAGUAUAGCAAAGCAGUACAACAGAUUGUGUAUUCUGCUGGGUAUGACUGAAAUGCAUCAGAGGUCAUAGAAAAUAACAGGUGUUUGGCUGGAUGAUAUAAUUUCUGUAAACUAUCUGUGCAGCUUCUUGAUAUACGGUCGCUAAAGCUACCUGACCUUUGUCUGUCACUGGAUGAACUAACAAUAGCAAACAUGAAUGUAGCCAACAUUUUUCAUUAUAUGUUAAUGGCUGUCAUGGUUUUUCAUAACUCUAAAGAUUCCUGAACACUUGAUACACUUUGAACUGACUUGUUAUGUUUCAUUCUUCGCUGCUGUUGUGUAGUUUCAUCUUUGUCCUUUCUCUAAGUGUACAGAAUGAACAAUUCUAUUUUUUUUUAUACUAAGAUAUUUUUAUUAAUAAAGAUUUAAUCAGUACUUCUUCUGACUUAUUU
RNAcentral lists this long non-coding RNA (1929 nucleotides) under Calidris pugnax (ruff). RNAcentral's name for it is "lncRNA (ENSCPUG00000019141.1)". Lineage: Eukaryota; Metazoa; Chordata; Aves; Charadriiformes; Scolopacidae. The record is from RNAcentral.